AGUACGACCGCAAGGUUAAAACUCAAAUGAAUUGACGGGGACCCGCACAAGUAGUGGAGCAUGUGGUUUAACUCGAAGAUACGCGCAGAACCUUACCAACACUUGACAUGUUCGUCGCGACUCUAAGAGAUUAGAGUUUUCGGUUCGGCCGGACGAAACACAGGUGCUGCAUGGCUGUCGUCAGCUCGUGUCGUGAGAUGUUGGGUUAAGUCCCGCAACGAGCGCAACCCUCACUUUUAGUUGCCAUCAUUAAGUUGGGCACUCUGAAAGAACUGCCAGUGAUAAGCUGGAGGAAGGUGGGGAUGACGUCAAGUCCUCAUGGCCCUUACGUGUUGGGCUACACACGUGCUACAAUGGUAUCUACAACAGGAAGCGAGACUGCGAAGUUAAGCAAAUCCCUAAAAGAUACCUCAGUUCGGAUUGCACUCUGCAACUCGAGUGCAUGAAGCUGGAAUUACUAGUAAUCGUGGAUCAGCGUGCCACGGUGAAUGCGUUCCCGGGUCUUGUACACACCGCCCGUCACACCAUGGGAGUUGGUUCUACCUUAAGGCAAGGUUUCAAACCCUUGACCACGGUAUAGUCAGCGACUGGGGUGAAGUCGUAACAAGGUAACC
This 614-nucleotide ribosomal RNA is filed under the name uncultured marine bacterium. Its description in RNAcentral is "bacterial SSU rRNA". It matches the Rfam family "Bacterial small subunit ribosomal RNA", at positions 879 to 1501 of the family's 1533-position model. The record is from RNAcentral.